AUUGAACGCUGGCGGCAGGCCUAACACAUGCAAGUCGAACGAGUGGCGGACGGGUGAGUAAUGUCUGGGAAACUGCCUGAUGGAGGGGGAUAACUACUGGAAAAGGUAGCUAAUACCGCAUACCAUCGGAUGUGCCCAGAUGGGAUUAGCUAGUAGGUGGGGUAAAGGCUCCCCUAGGCGACGAUCCCUAGCGGGUCUGAGAGGAUGACCAUCCACACUGGAACUGUGACACUGUCCAGCCUCCUACGGGAGGCAGCAGUGGAGAAUAUUGCACAAUGGGCGCAAGCCUGAUGCAGCCCUGCCGCGUGUAUGAAGAAGGCCGUCGGGUUGUAAAGUACUUUCAGCGGGGAGGCGUUACCCGCAGAAGAAGCACCGGCUAACUCCGUGCCAGCAGCCGCGGUAAUUC
This 406-nucleotide ribosomal RNA is filed under the name uncultured bacterium. RNAcentral's name for it is "partial 16S ribosomal RNA". It matches the Rfam family "Bacterial small subunit ribosomal RNA", at positions 30 to 526 of the family's 1533-position model. The record is from RNAcentral.